Molecule: transfer RNA, 85 nt
Filed under: Odoribacter splanchnicus
Lineage: Bacteria; Pseudomonadati; Bacteroidota; Bacteroidia; Bacteroidales; Odoribacteraceae
Also listed under: 1 other name
Description: tRNA-Ser
Rfam family: tRNA
About the family: Transfer RNA (tRNA) molecules are approximately 80 nucleotides in length. Their secondary structure includes four short double-helical elements and three loops (D, anti-codon, and T loops).
Source: RNAcentral
GGAGAGGUGGCAGAGUGGUCGAUCGCGGCGGUCUUGAAAACCGUUGACUGUCAUAGGUCCGGGGGUUCGAAUCCCUCCCUCUCCG